RNAcentral lists this ribosomal RNA (253 nucleotides) under uncultured bacterium. Its description in RNAcentral is "partial 16S ribosomal RNA". It matches the Rfam family "Bacterial small subunit ribosomal RNA", at positions 524 to 776 of the family's 1533-position model. The record is from RNAcentral.
UACGAAGGGGACUAGCGUUGUUCGGAUUUACUGGGCGUAAAGCGCGCGUAGGCGGAUCGCUAAGUCAGGGGUGAAAUCCCGGGGCUCAACCCCGGAACUGCCUUUGAUACUGGUAGUCUCGAGUCCGGAAGAGGUGAGUGGAAUUCCGAGUGUAGAGGUGAAAUUCGUAGAUAUUCGGAGGAACACCAGUGGCGAAGGCGGCUCACUGGUCCGGUACUGACGCUGAGGUGCGAAAGCGUGGGGAGCAAACAGG